This 119-nucleotide ribosomal RNA is filed under the name Triticum aestivum (bread wheat). Lineage: Eukaryota; Viridiplantae; Streptophyta; Magnoliopsida; Poales; Poaceae. The record is from RNAcentral.
GGAUGCGAUCAUACCAGCACUAAAGCACCGGAUCCCAUCAGAACUCCGAAGUUAAGUGUGCUUGGGCGAGAGUAGUACUAGGAUGAGUGACCUCCUGGGAAGUCCUCGUGUUGCAUUCC